CGGAAACGGGCGCUAAUACCGCAUACGUCCUGAGAGCAAAGUGGGGGAUCUUCGGACCUCACGCUAUCAGAUGAGCCUAGGUCGGAUUAGCUAGUUGGUGGGGUAAAGGCCUACCAAGGCGACGAUCCGUAACUGGUCUGAGAGGAUGAUCAGUCACACUGGAACUGAGACACGGUCCAGACUCCUACGGGAGGCAGCAGUGGGGAAUAUUGGACAAUGGGCGAAAGCCUGAUCCAGCCAUGCCGCGUGUGUGAAGAAGGUCUUCGGAUUGUAAAGCACUUUAAGUUGGGAGGAAGGGCAGUAAGUUAAUACCUUGCUGUUUUGACGUUACCAACAGAAUAAGCACCGGCUAACUUCGUGCCAGCAGCCGCGGUAAUACGAAGGGUGCAAGCGUUAAUCGGAAUUACUGGGCGUAAAGCGCGCGUAGGUGGUUCAGCAAGUUGGAUGUGAACCAUCCGGGCUCAACCUGGGAACUGCAUCCAAAACUACUGAGCUAGAGUACGGUAGAGGGUGGUGGAAUUUCCUGUGUAGCGGUGAAAUGCGUAGAUAUAGGAGGGAACACCAGUGGCGAAGGCGACCACCUGGACUGAUACUGACACUGAGGUGCGAAAGCUUGGGGGAGCAAACAGGGAUUAGAUACCCCUGGUAGUCCACGCCGUAAAACGAUGUCGAACUAGCCGUUGAGAUCCUUUGAAGAUCUUAGUUGGCGCAGCUAACGCGAUAAGUCGACCGCCCUUGGGGAGUUACCGGCCGCCAAGGUUUAAAAACUUCAAAAUGAAUUUGAACUGGGGGGCCCCGCACAAAGCGGGGGGAAGCAAUGGUGGUUUUAAUUCCGAAAGCAAACGGGGAAGAACCCUU
This 858-nucleotide ribosomal RNA is filed under the name Pseudomonas aeruginosa. RNAcentral's name for it is "bacterial SSU rRNA". It matches the Rfam family "Bacterial small subunit ribosomal RNA", at positions 151 to 973 of the family's 1533-position model. The record is from RNAcentral. Lineage: Bacteria; Pseudomonadati; Pseudomonadota; Gammaproteobacteria; Pseudomonadales; Pseudomonadaceae.